RNAcentral lists this ribosomal RNA (240 nucleotides) under uncultured bacterium. RNAcentral describes it as "partial 16S ribosomal RNA". It matches the Rfam family "Bacterial small subunit ribosomal RNA", at positions 95 to 334 of the family's 1533-position model. The record is from RNAcentral.
CCGGCGCACGGGUGAGUAACACGUAUCCAACCUGCCGUCUACUCUUGGCCAGCCUUCUGAAGGAAGAUUAAUCCAGGAUGGGAUCAUGAGUUCACAUGUCCGCAUGAUUAAAGGUAUUUUCCGGUAGACGAUGGGGAUGCGUACCAUUAGAUAGUAGGCGGGGUAACGGCCCACCUAGUCAACGAUGGAUAGGGGUUCUGAGAGGAAGGUCCCCCACAUUGGAACUGAGACACGGUCCAA